Molecule: long non-coding RNA, 22447 nt
Filed under: Lotus japonicus
Lineage: Eukaryota; Viridiplantae; Streptophyta; Magnoliopsida; Fabales; Fabaceae
Description: long non-coding RNA (LJAP_LNC001480)
Source: RNAcentral
UAACUUGUUUUCCAUCUUCGUCAUACAUGCCAAGCAAGCAGCUGAUUAAGUCUUGGUGGGCAGAGGCUCCAUUUUUCUCCUGUUCAAUCUUCUUCAUGUGCACAAUAUCCUUCAACAUGUUCUGGAUCCUUGCACUUUCUCUGAGGCUGCUGUUGUAGCGAGUGAAAGGAACGUUAACUGGGACUGACCACAUUCCUUCAAUCAAUGCUUUGAAUGAGGUUAGGAAUUGAUCUCUUUGUUUUCCACGCUCAAUACCAAACAGAAGAGAGCAAAUUAUGUUGAAUGUAAGCUUCUUCAUUAGGGGUAAUACCUAUCAGACAAAACAAAAAUAAAUAGUGGCCCCAUAUUCUUUUUCCAACUUUGGUUUGAUUUUAAUUAUCCCAUAAAAAGAUUUUGCUUAGCAUGUUUGUAUUAGUUUCUAUUUCCUCAUAAUCAAUUAUGUCAUCCAUAAACCACUCAAAGAAGCUUCUCCUCAAAAUUGAUUGUCUUUGGAAUCAAUUGUUUUUUUUUAUAGGCAAAUGUUAGUGGUUAGUUGUUAGUAAGUUAGAAAAUCCCAUCAAAUUUCCCUUCCAGGAUUCGAACCCUGGACCUUCCCCUUCCCAACCCUUAUGUCCCUAGCUCUUACCACUUGAGCUAACCAUCGGGAGACCUUUCGAAUCAAUUGUAAGAGACAUUAAUGUCCCAUUGUUUGAUUUGCUUCUUUUCCCUCUCCAAAUGGCACAAACAUUGGUAUAUGCAGAAUCAUAUGUAAGGCUAUAAAUCUAAUUUGNNNNNNNNNNNNNNNNNNNNNNNNNNNNNNNNNNNNNNNNNNNNNNNNNNNNNNNNNNNNNNNNNNNNNNNNNNNNNNNNNNNNNNNNNNNNNNNNNNNNGUCUUGGUGGGCAGAGGCUCCAUUUUCUCCUGUCAAUCUUCUUCAUGUGCACAAUCUCCUUCAACAUGUUCUGGAUCCUUGCACUUUCUCUGAGGCUGCGGUUGUAGCGAGUGAAAGGAACGUUAACUGGGACUGACCACAUUCCUUCCAUCAAUGCUUCGAAUGAGGUUAGGAAUUGAUUUCUUUGUUUUCCACGCUCAAUACCAAACAGAAGAGAGCAAAUUAUGUUGAAUGUAAGCUUCUUCAUUAGGGGUAAUACCUAUCAGACAAAACAAAAAUAAAUAGUGGCACCAUAUUCUUUUUCCAACUUUGGUUUGAUUUUAAUUAUCCCAUAAAAAGAUUAUGCUUAGCAUGUUUGGACUAGUUUCUAUUUCCUCAUAAUCAAUUAUGGCAUCCAUAAAACACUCAAAGAAGCUUCUCCUCAAAAUUGAUUGUCUUUGGAAUCAAUUGUAAGACAUUAAUGUCCCAUUGCUUGAUUUGCUUCUUUUCCCUCUCCACGUGGCACAUACAUUGGUAUAUGCAGAAUCAUAUGUAAGGCUAUAAAUCUAAUUUGGAAUUUAUGUCACUCCAAUAACGUAACAACUCUGUCUAUAGUUAACAAUUUCAUUACAACAUUCAUUUUACAUGAAAACUGUGGUUUUGUUGCUAACUUGAAAAGCAACAUUUCGUUGCUUUUGAAGGGGAGUAAAUUCUGUUAGACGUAUAUUUACAAGUUCUGACUACAAUUAGUUUUAUAGUACCAGGUUAAUUCAAAAUCAUUUUUCCAAAAUCUAAUCCAAACAUACACUCACACUGUUUAGUUUGUAUUCAGAUUUUCGCUGAACUUAAUGUGAAUUCAUGUUAAACUCAACGUGUUCAAAUCUUGGUUCUCCGAUCCAUAUUUGAAAUACUUAAAAUUACGUUUGCGUUUGGACCAAUGCUAAAACAAGCAUACACUUAGAGCAUGUUUGGAUUAACUUCUUUUUCCUCAAAAUCAAUUUUGGAAUUGAAAAGCUACUCAUAGAAGCUUCUCCCAAGAAUUGAUUUUGACUUCAGAAUCAAUUGUAGAAGGAUUUUAAAGCACGGAAUUAAUCUUACAUAUAUUAACAACUUACCUUAACCUGUUGUUUCCCUUGCCAAUUCAUCUCAAUGUGUCUCCUAACUUCUUCAUCCAUUUUCCCUACAUAUCUCUUCAAGGAAUCUGGCUUCAAGAAUGAUAUAAGUGCACCUCUGACUCUGCUGUGAUCUACACCACUCAGUUCCAGCAAGCUCCUGUCACCCAAGAUCAUUUUGAUGGACUGUGUUUGCUGGUUAGCAAUGGUGUCACCACCACUUGAGAACAUGAACUUGUUAGCAGCUUGUCCAUAGAUCAAAACUGUUGGUUUUCCAAAGAGGCUUAGUUUUGAAACAGGACCAUACUUCUUGAUUCUUUCUCCAACCCAGUUUUCUGCAGUGUUGGCACGCAUAGCGCGAAGAAGGCCAAGGCUUUGACCAAUAAUUGGUAUUCCUAGUGAACCUGGAGGGAUCCUUUUGGAUGGUUUGCUUCUUGUUCUAAGCAGAAGGAGUAUUGGAAUGAGUAAGAGGAAACUAACAAGAAAAACACUCAUGGCUCAGAUCUUCUUCUUCUUUUCAGGUUCUGAGAAAGUCCAUGAUUGAAGGGGGAGUCUGGUUAGUGGUUUAUGAUAUGGUGUGUUGACUUUAUAAUAGCAUGUUUAGUUUGAUGGUGAAAUGCUUUGAAAUUAUUUAUGGUUAGAAACAUUAAGUCUUAGCUUCCAACGUGUCUUGGGAAACCAAAUAUGCUUUGAUAUCUAAUUGAAGUGCCCAAAUGAAAACAGUUCUGAUAGCACUAUAGCAGCUGGCUGUGUACAUUGUCUAACCUCAUAAUCUAAAAACAUAAAAAUCAUAUGGUUUUAUUUAUCAUUUCCCUUUGUUUGGCAACAAAGGCAGAUUUACUAGGUAUUCAACCACUAUAUCAGUAAUGGCAUUUCUAGUUUUGCAAAUGCUUUGACAUCCAAAAUUAAUUAAUUAAGUGAAGAGGAUGGCAUGUAUGAAUUACUUCUAGGAACUUUUCAUCUCCAAAAGCUUCUUCUAGGAACUUUUCCCAAACUUGAAAAACUAGAGGAUUUCCAAACACAGUGAAAUUCUACAAAUAACAAAAUUGAUUCGUCAGUAAUUUUAAACAGAUAUGUACAUUUACAUUUUGAACUUGUUUUUUGUUAUAAAUUUAUUGAUUUUUCAAUAUUUAAUUUCGAAUAUUAUUCAUUAAUAUUAAUUAAUUCCUCCUAAAGCUACUUUUGUUUUUUUCGAAAAAAUCAUUUUUAGUAGCGCAUAUGUCUGGUUUCAAAUUCACAUAUCCUAGUUUUAUGUCACUAUGUCUAAGAUUUAUCCAAAAGAUGACAUAUAAGGAAAAUUAUUCUUUUGUUGAGUGAUUUGAUUCCUCUGUCGCAUUGGUGUAUCUGUUGUUAGCUUUGUCUUCUUUAUAUUUGAUUGCUAAGUGUGAUUCCCUUUUUGGGGGUGAUAAAUGAAAUCUUUUAUCCAACAAAAUAAAUCUGGAUCUUAAAAAUAAUACAUAGAAACUUGUGCUGAAAUAUACAAAAAUUUGUUUUAGAGUAGGAAAUUUUCUUAGUUCUUGUGUUGAAUGAAAUAUACAAUAAAUAAGAACAUUUUGUAUAAGUGGAAUAAACAAAGACAGCAGAGGUGGACCUUGGAGGGAUGAACUAACUGAUUUGAGUGUGUCUCAGUAUAUUCAUAAUUCAUUGGUCUCUAGUGACAAUUUUUUUAAACAUGUUUUCUUUCUAUUUGAUGUAAUUAAGAAUACUGUGAUGUGCAUCUCAUCUAAUUUCUUUUCUUUGUAAUUUUUUUUUUACAAUCAAUUCAAGGAAAAAUUACUCAUGUCAAGAUAGUCUGGAAAUACCAGAAAUUGGGAGUAGCCGGCACAAUACAAAAUAAAGAACCAUUCUGUCUAAAGCACUGAAAACGAUUGUUCAUUUUCUAAUCCCUUUGAGGAAAAUUAUUGUUCAUUUUCUAAUCCCUUUGAAGGCAUUGCAACUUGCAAGCUAGUUAUAUUUUAAAGAAAGUUUGAAUCACGACUUUCAUAAUUACAUCAGCAUAACAAGUAUCUUAGUCAUAUUUUACAGAAAGUUAACAUCACAAGUUUCAUAAUUAGAUCAGCCCAACAAGAGCAAAUUUUUGGAUAUAUGUUGGCCCCGAUGCAAAUGGACAUUAGCACGUACUACAAAGAAAAAAAUGAGCAUAACUUUUAUAAAUUGCAUGAAAGUCUAUUUACAUUAUACUCAACUGUUAUCCAAGUCAAGUCAGUUAUAUUUUAGUUCCUGAACAACAGAACCUAAUCUAAAUCUUGACAAUGCAAUAUAUUCAGAUUUCAGAUGAAAGGUAGAAUAACACCAAGCAAAUGAAAAUGUGCAGAGAAGUCAAGUAAUAAGUCUCAAUACAUUUUCAUUUGGAAUUUUCCUCACGUUUAUCAAUCAUGCAACAAAUAAAUACAUGUGUUGCAUACAGAGCAACCUCAAUGCUUAGUUACUGUUGCAUUAUUGGACUAACAUUACUAUCAAUAUCAUGUGCAUGAUAGUCAUCAAAUAGUUAUUCCGGAUAUUUGUUCUUCACUUCCUUCAUUCUGGUUGUGAAUUUUGGCGGAAGAAACAACAACAAUAAUGCACCAAUCUAACAUGUCUCACUCUUAUAGCAUGUUUGGAUCAACUUCUCUUUCAUCAGAUUCAAUUUUGAAACCCAGAAAGUUCUUAUAGAAGCUGCUUUGCAGAAUUGAUUAUGUCUUCAAAAUCAAUCCUAGAAGUGUUUCCAAACAUGCUUUUACUCAGUCUCUAAUGGAAAAGCCUUCUGGUUUUAGUGUAUGUUUGAAUAUGAUUAGGUUUUAGAGAAAAACUGUUUUCUCCUAAAAGGCCUUCUCCUAAUAAUAUUUAUAUUUAUUUUGAAGUUUGAACACAAGAUAAGUACACUAAUCUUUGAACAUAGACUUCAUUUUGGUACAUCUAUUAGAAGGCCAGCAGUUUUUUUUGGCCAUUAAAGACCUGCAGUUAUUGAAAUGGGGAAAUUACUAUUCUUACCGUAUGUUUCUCUCCCUAAACCAGCUACAUGCUUACAGAAAUUAAUUUUCAGAAGCAGGUGCACUGAUGCAAGGAGAGAAACAUUUUUGUUCGAAUACUAAUCCUCGUGAAAUGGCAUCUAAGGAGAGAAACAUUUUUGUUCAAUUGGCAAUCCUUGAGUGGGUUCUGGCAUUGGAUCCCUUGUGAAGAAAUUAUCUGAGAAGCGUAGCUUCCAACUGAAUUUGGUCACAAGGUAAUGAAUUGUCACAAGAAUCCAGGCAAGAUCAUACCCUGGACAUAUUCUUGCACCCGCUCCAAAUGGUAUGAAGUUGUAGGGUGGGAUGGAAUAAUGGAUGCUUGGUUUUCAAAUCCACUUGGAUCAAACUUUGAUGGUUCUGGGAAAAUGUUGUUAUCCAUGUGGGUCAUUGCUGUAACCAAAAGAUCUAGACAAAGAAAGGUUUUAAUCAGUAAAAUGAUUGCAUGGUGAGAAGUUCAUCAAAUUUGGAUUUUCUGCGGUAGCAUUUUCCUAAAUUCAUUACAGUCAGGGUUUCAUAACCAUCAGAUCAAAUUAGGACAUCUCAGAUUUUAUAGUCUGAUUUAAAGUGUACAAUCUUCUAUUUAAAUAUGAGUUGUCUAAUUUUAAUCUGACGGCUAUGGAGUUCUGACUACUAAAAAUUUUAAAAUAUCCAACUGCAAGAAAUCCAAAUCUGAGAUUCACCAAGAGUUUCACUUACCUGCCACCCUUUGGGUAUAAGGUAAAGGUAUCCACCAUAUUCAAUAUCUGUUUCAGCUUUUCUCAAGCCACCAAAUAGUGGAGGAACCAUCCUGAGAGUUUCUUGUGCUACUCUUCAGGUGUACUUCAUCUAUGUAAGAUUUUCCCAUGUGAGUGGCUCUCCUAACAUGUUGCCUUUUGCUAUCUCUUCCUGUUCUGCAACCACAUAACAAAACAUAAAGAUCUCUUUGCCUUUGCUUUCAAACAUGAAGAAUCACUAGAAGCAUUUUCAGUAAUCAAGUGCAUUUUUCUCAUUUAUACAUAUCAACCCACAAGAGUUCACCAAUCAAUCUCUUUGCCUCUCACAAACACACACAAAUACACUCACAACAGAACACACACUUCAAUGCAUCAUCAGAGUAUCUGAGAUAAGGGGACAACUAUUGGUGGUUUAAAGAAAUAUACUAGAAUAUUGAUUUGACACCAAAUCUUGACCCAAAACCUUAAAGGAAUGAGCCUUUUUUGUCUUCGCACUUAUGUGGUCCUUAAUUAACCCAUUCUUAAUCGGAUUAGAGUCCUCUCAUGUCACAUGACAAUGUCAAAUGUAGCAUUGUGUGUAUCUCUCUUCAUAAAUAUUCAAAGGGUCCCACUCCCACCAAUUUAUACAUAUGAAGAGAGAGAGAUAUACACGAUUCAACAUGAGAAAAUAAGAUAGAGUUUAUGUUAGAAUAUAAUAUAAAACCAUUAAAGUGACCCUUACCCAACAGCUUAAGCUUUCUAUGGCCGAGAGGUCUAGAGUUCGAUCCUUCCACCCCUCACUUUCUAAUUAAAAAAAAAAUUCGAUCCUUCCACCCCUCACUGUCAAAUAACCAAUUAACCCAAAAGCUUAAGCUGUUGGGCUUGAAGCGUGGAUAACUGCACAGACCCACCUACCAUGUGCUUAAUUAAAUUCCACUUUUCCCAAAAGCUUAAGCUGUUGGGUAAGGGUCACUUUAAUGGUUUUAUAUUAUAUUCUAACAGUUUAUACAUGAGAGGAUCAUGAUCUUUCCUAACCAAUUCGAGACUUAUAUCACUCAUACUUAAAUUUCCAACACGCAUACCUUGAAGAAGUGCUUCAUGAAUAUCAGGUUCAUUCGCUAAGAGCCUGAUAAUGAAAGUGAUCAGAACAGCUGAAGUGCCAUGUCCAGCCACUAUGACAAGCAUAGCAUUUUGAAUGAUUUCCUUCUCCGUUAUUACUCGUUUUCCAUCUUCGUCAUGCAUUCCAAGCAAGAAACUGAUUAAGUCUUGGGGGGCAGAGGCUCCAUUUUGCUCCUGUUAAAUCUUCUUCAUGUGCACAAUCUCCUUCAACAUGUUCUGGAUCUUUGCACUUGCUCUGAGGCUGCGGUUGUAGCGAGUGAAAGGAACGUUAAGUGGGACUGACCACAUUCCUUCAACCAAUGCUUUGAAGGAAGUCAGGAAUUGAUCUUUGUUUUCCACGCUCAAUACCAAACAAAAGAGAGCAAAUUAUGUCGAAUGGGAGAGUCUUCAUUAGGGGUGAAACCUAUCAGAGAAAAUAAAAAUAAACAGUUACCAUUAUUCUUUCUCCAACUUUGGUUUGAUUCUAAUUAUCCCUUAAAAAUGAUAUAUUUAGCAGUUUGGACCAGUUUCUAUCUCAUCAGAAUCAAUUCUGGCAUCCAGAAGUCACGUCCUGAAACUUCUCCUCAAAAUUGAUUUAACUUUGGAAUCAUUUGUAAAGGGAUUUAACGUUUGAUUGCUAGGAUUUGCUUCUAUUCCCUAUCCUCAUGGCAUAGAGAUUUAAAUUUGCAGAAUCAUAUUUAAGGCUAUAAAUCUAAUUUGGAAUUUGUGUCACACUCACUCCAAUAAGACAAGUUAUAACUUUGAAUUUGUUAAUGUACUUGACUGCUACCGUUCCCCUUCUAAAAUAUAAAAGAAAGUAUGUUAGUAAUCCAGAAUUGUUGACACACUCAUACUAAUUCUUAAAAAGUACCUGUAAGUCACAAUUGAAUUUGUUAACAUACUCUCAGAUGGUGGAUGUUUACUAAGGCACUCAUUAAACAACGAUUUUAUUGUUGCUUUUGCAGGGGAGUAAAUUUCUGUUGGACAUAUAUUGAUAAAUUGUAAUUAAAAUUAGUUUUGUAACAUCAGGUUAGUUCAAAAUCAAUUUUCAAAACUCUAAUUCAAACAUCAGGUUAGUGUAUAUUUGGAUUUCUGUUGAAAUUAAUGUGAAUCCACGUCAAACUCAACAUGGUAAAAUUUUGCUUCUCCGAUUCACAUUGAACUUAAUAUGGCAAAUUUUAACUAACAAGUAGGCAUCCUGACGGGAGUUGGGUUUGGAGCCCCACCCCUUAGGCUUUGCACCCCAUUAAAACAGAUACGGAAUUUAAAUUUCCGUAUCAAUACGGAAUUCCGUAUUCAAUGUGGAGAAUACGGAACUUUAAAUUCCGUAUUUGAUAAAGUGGGGUGCCAAGCCCCAUAGGUGGGGUGCCAAACCCAACUCCCCAUCCUGACAUAUGUGAAAUCAUGUUUGCGUUUGGACCAACGCCAAAGCAUGUUAUAUCAUGUAUGAAUCAACUUCUUCUUCCUUAAAAUCAAUUAUGUCACCCAAAAGCUAAUCAUAGAAGCUUCUCCCUAAAGUUGAGUUUGGCUUCAGAAUCAAUUGUAGAAAAAUUUGCAAGCAUGCAUUUAACCUAACCUAUAUUAACAACUUACCUUGACCUGCUGUUUCCCUUGCCAAUUCAUCUCAAUGUGUCUCCUAACUUCUUCAUCCAUUUUCACAACAUAUCUUUUCAAGGAAUCUAGCUUCAAGAAUGAGACAAGUGCACCCCUGUCUCUGCUGUGAUCUACACCACUCAGUUCCAGCAAGCUCUUGUCACCCAAGAUCAUUUUCAUAGACUGUGUUUGCUGGUUAACAAUGGUGUCAACACCACUUGAGAACAUGAACUUGUUAGCAGCUUGUCCAUAGAUCAAAACUGUUGAUUUUCCAAAGAGGCUUAGCUUUGAAACAGGACCAUACUUCUUGAUUCUUUCUUCAACCCAUUUUUCUGCAGUGUUGUUUCGCACAGCACGAAGAAGGCCAAGGCUUUGACCAAUAAUUGAUAUUCCUAGAAUCCUAGUGAACCUGGAGGGACCCUUUGGCAUGCUUUGCUUCUUCUUAUAAGAAGAAAGAAAAUUGGGAUGAGUAAGAGGAAACUAACAAGAAAAACAUUCAUGGCUCAGUAGUUUCUUUUCAGGUUCUGAGAAAGACAAUGAAAGAGGGGGAGUCUGGUUAGUGGUUUAUGAUAUGGAGUGUUGAUUUUAAAAUAUAAGGUUUGGCUCCACGGUGAAAUGCUAUAAAAUCACUUCUUCUAGUUUCUAAGUAAACGUGUUUUGAAUUCUCCGUGAAACCAAACAUGCUAUAGUAGGAAUUGUCCUUUUACUUUAAUGCAAAAGACAAGUGCACCAAAGGAUCUGUCGUUUUCCUUUUUGUUGCAUUUGUGUAUCUGUUGUAAGCUUUGUCCUCUUCAUUAUAUUUGAUAUAGUUAGUUUAACAGUGGGAAGUUUCCUAAGUUAUUGUGUUGAAAUAUACAGUAAGUUUGAACAUUCCAUAAUUCCAGGGAGCUAUUUUGAACCGAAGAAAACAAGUAUUAUUACCUAAUAAUCCCACAAAAGUGUAACCAAAGUUGACAGCAGAUAAGUUGAAUCAAACAAAGACGGCAGAGCUGGAUCAUGGAGGGAUGAACUAACUGAUUUGAGUGUGUGUCAGCACAUUCAUAAUUCAUUGGUCUGAUCUGAUCUUGAUUCUAGUAACAAUUCUUUUAAACAUGUUUUCUUUCUAUUUAAUGUAAGAAUACUUUGAUGUGCAUCUCAAUUAUUUUUCUAUUUUUUCUUUACAAUCAGAUCAAGGAAAAAUUUCUCAUGUCAAGAUAGUCUGGAAAUACCAGAAAUUGGGAGAGGCUGGCACAAUACAAAAGAAAGAACCAUUAUGUCUAAACCACUAAAAACGAUUGUUCAUUUUCUAAUCCCUAUGAGGAAAUUAUUGUUUAUUUUCUAAUCCCUUUGAAUACAUUACAAGCUAGUUAUAUUUAAGAGAAAGUUUACAUCACAAGUUUCAUAAUUAGAUCAGCACAACAAGUAUCGUUAGUUAUAUUAUUCAGAAAGUUAACAUGACACGUUUCAUAAUUAGAUCAGCACAAGUAUUGUUGGCUAUGUUUCGAUAUCCAUUGGUUCCGAUGCAAAUGAACAUUAACACGAACUUCAAAGAAAAAAUUGAACACAACUCUUACGUAUUGUGGUGAGAAUUUGUUUACAUUACACUACAACUGAUAACCAAACAUAAAAGACAUAAAGCCAGCUAUAUUUUAGUUCCUGAACAGAACCUAAUCUAAAUGUUGACAAUGUAAUUUAUUCAGAUUUCAGAUGAAAGGUAGAAGAAUCACACCAAGCAAAUGAAAAUUUGCAGAGUAAUCGAGUAAUAAGUUUCAAUACAUUUCAUUUGGAAUUUUCGUCAAGUUUAUCAAUCAUUCAACAAAUAAGACCCGAUAUUGCAUAUAUAGUGCAACCUCAAUGCUACAAGAAGAGAAAGGAAAGAAAAAAGGAAAGGUGCUGCUUAAAGAUUGAUGCAAGAAUGCCCACUUCUCCUACAUAUAUGAAGACAACAAGAACAACAACUAUCUGUUCCACACUCUGACAUCACUAAGUAUACAAACAAGUACAAUCAGAUAUCUCAACCAUCUAAGGUGUGUAGGUAGCACAAUGUAUCUGUAUUAGUAAGAAAAUAUGAGAUAUACAUCAUGUUAUCAUCAGUCAGCCUUGGCAGGUAGAUGGUUGCCACCAGUUGCUAGUUUGUAGAGAUAAAACAAAGUCAUGAGACCACUGCACGAAAAAGAAAGGCAAAUGUCUUAACUCCAGAUAACACCAUAUAUUGCUCUUCUUAUGAUUAAGCAGUAGUUAGAAAUAACAAGCAACCUAACUUGCAUAAAUGUCUACAAAUGCGUAUAUCAAAGGUUAGCAUACAUGAAAAUCUGUUUAGUACAACAGUGGAUAAAUUAUUGUCUUAAUAGAAUAGUUUUCAGAUGUUGUAGUUGCCCCCCUCAAACUUUUAUACUGUAUCUUCCAAUUAGCUACUGUAGAUGUUACUUAAUGCAUUAAUUUUUUUGCCCCAUGUUACCCAUUUUCCUGGUUCCAUCUAAGGUGACAGAUGUCGAGCAAUUGGACAAACUAUAAGCCAAGUAAUGGCUGCUACUAGCGCUUGAUUCCAAAUCCUAUUUGGAAAAAUAUAUAUAGAAAACUGAGAAGUUAAAACAAAUUUUAGAGGAACUUGCACAUAACAAGUUUGGGGUAAUAAUAGCUGACUAAAAUGUUUCUUGUUGAAACAAAUGAAAUGGUGAAGCCUUCACCAUUUAGAAAGUUUAAGAGAUGAAACUUAUUUACAUGGAUGUAUAAUGCAGUUACUUUUCACAAAAGAUAUGUUCAUGGAUUUACAAUCCACAAGCUAAGAACACCAAUCCAAUAACUAGAUCUUAAAAAUCUAAACUCAAUUCCUAGAAAUCUGUGUGAGAAUUGAGAAAAGAAUCAUAUACGUUCAGAAUAUGAGCUUUGGCUAUCUCUAAUCAACCCUUGACUUACCUGAUUCCUGCAACAACACCAGCAGGCAUAACCUUGGACGUUUCCAUGUAACGCUGCCCCAUGACCCAAGUUAGAGCGGUUGCGCAAACUGUUUUGCAGGACAAAAUUAGUACAAAGAAGAGAAAAUCAGUGUAGCAAAUAUGGACUAUAAAUUACCAGAGCAUUCAAUUCAAUGCAUUAAAAGACCUAAUUUUGAAUCCUAAACCAGUGACCCUCUUAGAAAAUUAGAUUAAACACAGAAUCAAAAUCGAAGGACACAAAAUUAGUACAAACAAAGCAGAGAAAACUAGUGCAGCAAACAUGGACUAUAAAUACCAGAGCACUCAGUGCAUUAAAAGAUCUAUUUUUGAAUCCUUAACCAGUGACCCUCUUAGAGAAUUAUAUUAAACACAGAGAACCAAAAUCUAAGGACACAAAAUUAGUACAAAGAGAAAACUAGUGUAGCAAACAUAGACUAGAACUACCAGAGCAUUCAAUUCAAUGCAUUAAAAGAUCUAAUUUUGAAUCCUAAACCAGUGACCCUCUUGAAAACUAAAACUAGUGUAGCAAACAUGGACUAUAAGUCUAUAGCUACCAGAGCAUUCAAUGCAUUAAAAGAUGUAAUUUUGAAUCCUUAACCAGUGAUCCUCUUAGAAAAUUAGACUCAACACAGAGAAUCAAAAUCUAAGGACACAAAAUUAGUACAAAGAAGAGAAAACUAGUGUAUCAAACAUGGACUAUAACUAUAGAGCACUCAAUGCAUUAAAAGAUUUUUGAAUCCUUAACAAGUGACCCUAUUAGAAAAUUAGAUUAAACACAGAGAAUCAAAAUCUAAAGACACAAAAUUAGUACAAAGAAGAGAAAACUAAAACUAGUGUAGCAAACAUGGACUAUAAGUCUAUAACUACCAGAGCAUUCAAUGCAUUAAAAGAUCUAAUUUUGAAUCCUUAACCAGUGACCCUCUUAGAAAAUAAAAUCAAACACAGAGAAUCAAAAUCUUUGGACACAAAUUAGUACAAACCACAAAACCAAUGUAGCAAACAUGGACUAUAACCACCCCAUCAUUCAAUACAUUGAAAGAUCUAAUUUUGAACCCUUAACCAGUGACCCUUUUACCAAUUUUGCUAGAUCAAACAGAAAGAAUCACAAUCCAACAUUUUCAACACCAUCUAAACCAGAUCAAAUCAUAAAAAAUAAAAAAUAAAAAAUCUAAUUAGAAACACCCUUGUACGAAACAGAGCAAAAUCAUGAAAUCUUGUAUACACACCGGUCUCAAGAAACAGAGCAAAGUAAGAGUUCUUCCGUUUGCCGAAGGCAUUGAGACUGAUGUAUCCAGCGACGAUGAGGAGCAAACCAGAGACAACGCCUCCGAGCAGAGAAGGGAUGCUUCCUUUGUGGAUGUACCCGAAUGCUCCACCACCUACCAACAGCAACCCGUAAGGAAUCGUGAAGCAGAAAUCGUGCAUUGUCUGUGAUUUUCCGGGAAAANAAGAGAAAGAAAAGGAAAGUGAGAAGGCGCGUGGAAUGCACAAGUCAAUGCCAAUAUUCAUUUACUUUGUCUCCGUAUUACUAUUUGCCCCUUGACUACCAUGUAAUUUCGCUUUCACCAUUGCCCUUGUAAGAGUAACGAGUUAUUUAUUUUGAUUCUAGUAUUGAGGAUUGAAUGAGAGAGAAAUAAAUAUUAUUUUAUUUAAAAUCUCACUUGUGAGAGUAACGAGUUAAGACACAGAUCUUAGCUUUUGUUAAGAUCGAUCUUAUGUCAUAUAUAAUACCUCCAAUGUUAAGAUUUAAUAAGAUCCGGAUUUUAUUUUAAGAUCUCAAUUUAAGAUCUUCAUUUGAGAUGUUCUAAGCGAAUUUAAUUUUAGUCUCUCGAUGAAAAAAUGAAGUUUAGUGGUAAUCAUUUUUAUAAUUAAUGGUUGCAAUUUUGUACCGAGACGUAUCCACCACAAUUUUGUGUCAGAUAUAUUUCUGUCACAAUUUGUGACGGAUUUGUUUUCGUCACAAACAGGCUGACAAGGAUUUUGUGACGGAUUCAUCUUCCAUCGCAAAGAAUCAAUUUCUCUCUGAAACCAUGUUGAUGUCCUAUUUUCUUUUUUGUAAAUAGUUUUAAUUUUAUAUUAUUUAAAAAAACACCUCUGAAUCUUCAACGGUGGGCCGUCACCUUAAAUGGUGCUUGUUUGCUUAUUGUAACUGUAGCACUGACAGAGCAGAAGCAGAACGCUUUGGUUAUGAACAUGCACAGUUUGAGCUCAUCUCUAAACUUCAUUCUAAUUUUGUACCAAGUUAGCGUUUAAGCAUCCAACUUCCAGCAAAGAUUAUCAUAUUCACCACUAAAAUUGACGAGGUAAUUUUAUUUCUUUAUUAUUCAUUUAUUUUCUAAACCAAAACUCGUAUUUGACCAGUCAUAGUGAUUGUUGACUUUCUUGUUGUUUUAUAUGAUUCCUACUCAGAAAGAGUAGAAGGAUCUCCAUCGUUUGUGCCUGCUGCAACAUCUUCGAGUGAGUUCAAAUUCCAUUCAUUUCUCUUUGCAUAUCUUCCUUUCAUUGACUCUGCUACUGAUUAUGUGAUUGUGUUUUAUAACAUGAACAAUGCGGUAAACGCUUAUUGCCAUAAGUGCUUAAAUAAGUUGUUUUCCCAAACACAUCCUUAAUUAAUAUAGGAAGUCGAAUAAAAUUGAUAGUAGAGGUAAACAAUCUUGUUGUCCUUACCUUCUAGGCAUAUAUAGUAACAGAUUUUUCUUUGCUAUGACCCUAGUGAGCGACACUGAAACCAUGCCUAAGUAUUAUAUAUCUUCUCUCAAAUUCUGUUUCAUUUUUGUCUUGCACUUUAACUCAUUCACUUUCAUUGAUUUGUUGCAUAAAAUUUUUCCAUUAAGAAUUGUCAGAAUUAAGUGUGAAAUUGAUUGAUUUCCACUUUUCCAGGUUACCUUUUGGUUAGAUGGAAUCAUUGAUAUACUGCAUUGAGAAAAUCCUACAUGGUCCUAUCCAUAGGUUACGUCUUCUUUUUAUAAUGAAAAAGGUGGACAUCGCAAGGGAGAAGCUAAUUUUAAAUCGAGAACUGUUGAAGGAAAAGGUUGAAGCUAUAGACAAAACAGAAAAAGUCAAUGAUGCUGUUCUGGAGUGGCUAGAAGAAAUGGAGAAAGUCAGAGAAGAGGAGCUAUCUGAAUUAGAAGCGGCGAUUACUGAUAGGUCCAAUUGGAUCAGUCCUGAUACUGAGAGGAUGCUUAGGUUGUACAAUGGAUUGCUAGAUAAAAUGAAGAUACUGAAUUCAAAAUGUGUAUUCGAGGCAUUUUCCAACCCAAUUCCAGGUUUAGAGUACUUCUCUUCUAGACAUUUUGCAUGUUUCGAGUCCACAAAAGAGACGUCAGAUCAACUUAUGGAAGCAAUGCAAGAUGAUAGUAUCCAUAUCAUUGGAUUGUAUGGGAAGCAAGGUUCAGGUAAAACAAAAUUGGUAGAAGCAGUGGGUAAGAAAGCCAAGUACUUGAAUAUUUUUAAUGAAGUUGUAUUUGCCACUGUGUCCCAAAAUACAAAUAUUGUUUGGAGGAUUCAGAACCAAAUUGCUGACUUGUUGGAUCUGAAAAUUGAAAGACAUUCUGAAGCUGCGAGAGCGAGAACAAUCUAUUCGAAAAUUGAAAGUAAAGGUCGAGUUCUUGUUAUCUCGGAUGAUGUUCGGGAAAAGCUUGAGCUGGAGAAUAUAGGUAUUCCUAUUAAUGGUAAUUGGUGCAAAGUACUUUUGACCACACGUCGCCAACAAGAAUGCACCUCGAUGGAUUGUCAAAGAGAGAUUCCUUUGCAUCCCUUGUUUGAAGAGGAAGCUUGGACUUUGCUCAAAAAAUAUUCAGGCAUAGAUGAUGAGUCAUCGUCUGCCCUAUUAACUGUGGCACAAGAAGUUGCUAACGAAUGUAAAGGGUUACCCAGUACAAUUAAAGAUGUGGGAUCUUCCUUAAAAGGUCACCCCGUUGAGGAGUGGAAAGCAGUCUUAGGCAGUUUGAGACAUUCAAGGGCUCGCUACCAAAUUUUCCUCAGCUUUAGGGGAGAUGACACUCGCUACUCUUUCACAGGUUCUCUCUUUGAUGCUUUGUGUCGAGAGGGGUUCAAGACAUUCAUGGAUGAUGGGGGAUUGGAGAGUGGUGACCAGAUUUCACUAUCUCUAAUAAACGCAAUUGAAGCAUCAAGGCUUUCCAUUGUUGUUCUUUCUGAAAAUUAUGCAUCUUCCUCAUGGUGCCUUGAGGAACUUGUCACGAUCCUUGACUGUAUAAAGAAGAAGAAUCAGUUAGUUUGGCCAAUCUUUUACAAAGUGGAUCCAUCAGAUAUAAGGCAUCAGAAAAGUAGUUAUGGAAAAGCCAUGGCUAAACAUGAAAGUAGACUUGUGAAUGAUUCAGAGAAGGUGCAAAGAUGGAGGUCAGCUUUGUCUGAAAUUGCUGGCUUGUCUGGAAUGCAUUAUAAUACUGGGUAUGUGGUUUACUCUUAAACAUUUUUUUUGUGAAGUUCCAUGUUUUUACGUUACGUUCCAUAUUUAAUAUCUAGUCUACUAGCACUAGUGGUUAAUUACUUUCAUUUUUAAGCUCGGUGAAAGGUUUACCAUGAAUCUAGUCUUCUAAUUGUCACUUUAAAGGUGACUUUCUGAUCUGUAAUCUUUUUUUAGUUUCAAUGCGGUUUUGUAUUUUGUGUGACAAGUUAUUUUUGUGUAAGAUUAAUAAGUGAGGCUUUUAUUUUUCAUAUUUUUUUAAUGAUAUAGAUUCUGAAUAAUGGAAAGACAAUGCAAAAAUUGUGCAGAAGUGAAUUAAAAUGCCAUGUACUCUUGCAGGUAUGAACAUAAAUUUAUUCAGACGAUUGUGGAAAGGGCCAAGAAUAAUAGAAAUCGCUUGUAUGUACAGAGCACAGAUAUGGACUAGAAGGAAGACUUUGGUUUCUCAUAAGGUGCUGCUAAUCACAUAAUUGAUCACAAGUGUUUGCUAGCUUAGAAAUGGAUGACGAUUCUUAAUGUGUGUAAGUAGUAGGAAGUAGUUUUGGACACAUUGUAUAUUCAGAAAUGGAUUAAGGCCCCGUUUGGAUAAACAGCUUAAUUAAGCGCUUAUGGUCAUAAGCGUUUAUGUCAUAAGCGCUUAUUCAUAAGCUAUUUUUAAAAAUUUAUUGAAAUAAAUAUGGCAGACCAUAAGCUGUUUGCAUAAGCUCUCCCAAACACUGGCAUAAGUGCUUAUGCUGUCAGAUAAGCUCAAAUAAGCUCUUCCAAACUGGGCCUAAAUACAAUUCAGGUGAUUUUGUGAUGUGAGAAUUUUGUGGGUAUUCUUCUUCUCUUUGGUAAUUUUGGAUUGUCUAAGAAAUGGAUGGCGGUUUUAAUCUGUAUGUUGUUUUUUGGUACAAAUUGUAAUGUGUAUGCUAAGUAGAAGGAAGUAGUUUUGGACAGUUUUAAAGUAAAUUUCCAUAACUGCAUAAGCUAGUGGCUGCCAUUUCUAAUGAACAAACAGAUAAGUUUUUCUCAACUCCUAGGGACUAACUACUACAUUGUCUGAAAUCUAAUCCCCUCCAUUUUAUAAACAGAUCCAAGUGCAUGUAGAAAUCACUAGCAGUAACUGUGCCAAGGGAUUUAAACCAGUAAAAUUCCAAUGUCAAGGAUCUCCUUUGCUGUCUUUGUGAUCAAUAAUCAAUCCCAUCAUACAACUAUUAUAAAAAAUAUCCGGCGUUAUUGUGGUGAGACCAAGAUUUAUCGGAUUAGUUUUAGUGAGAAAUCUGUGCUUUGAACUUCAGAAACAUAAUUAGGUUGUUGAAGUAAUAUGCUAAUAAAACAGCUUAUUAGAAACAUAUUUAUAAACUUAUAUAUUAGUUAUUGUAUCUUAAUCUUAGUUUAAAGUUAUUGUAUAUUAAUCUUAAUUUGUAAACCAUAAUCCACAAGACUUGGUCAGAGUACCAACUUAAAGGCCAAAGCACCUAUCAGCAAAAACAAAGGUUGGAGGAAAUAAAGUCAAUCACAAAAGGCAUUUUCUUUUGCUAAGAUUGUUUGUUAAAAGGAAUAUUUUAAUUGAGUUUUAUAAGGGCCUUAGUUGGAAGGUAAGUAUAAUUGAAUGCCACCCACAUGGUCUUCUUAAAUCUUAGCUUCAAUAUUUUGUUGCUUGUCACUUGCUCUCUUUAAGUCAUUACCUCACUCUUUGGGAUAUAGUAAUAAGCUUUAUUGAUGAUGAUCAUAGAUAUGUUAAGCCUGAUUGAUUUCACUAUUCUAUGCUACAGAGUUGUUACAUCGUGUUGGUAUAGAGUUAUUUAUUCAACACUGCAAAUAUUUGCUGCUCAGUUACUUGUUGAUAUAUAUAUUUAUAUUCCUCAUCCUAGGUCGUUCAUCAAAAUUUAUACAAUAUUUUCUGAUAUAUAAAUACUUCUUGUCUUGCUUUGAACUAUUGACAACUUCUUUAUUUGGCCCCCAGACUGUGUAUGCACCUGUAUUUAAAAAAUUUGUACGGGUACAUGAUAUACCUUGUGCUUGUCACUUGCUCUCUUUAAUUACCUCAUUUCUUUUGGUAUCAAUUUCAGCUGUAUUAACUCAUUACCUCACUCUUUGGGAUAUAGUAAUAAGCUUAAUUAAUGAUGAGCAUAGAUAUAUAUGUUAAGCCUGAUUGAUUUUAUUUAUUCUAUGCUACAGAGUUGUUACAUCGUGAUGGUACAGAGUUCAUUAUUCAACGCUGCAUUAUUUGCUGCUCAGUUGCUUGUUGAUAUUUUUAUAUUCCUCAUUCUAGGUUGUUCAAUAAAAUUUAUACUAUUAUCUGAUAUAUAUGUAUAUAUAUAUAUAAAUUACUUCUACUCUUGCUUUGAAGUUUGAACUAUUGACUACUUUUUAAUUUGUCCCGGCCCAGAUGUGUACGCAAAUUAUAUGUAUAUACAAAAAGACCAGACUCGAAAGAACAUUAAAAAAGAAGACCAUGCGGCUAUGUAGGUGAAAAAUAAAUAAAAUAUACUAACACCUACAGAACAGAAGGUCUUGGUUAACAAGUAUAAGAGCAUGAACUUAACAGAGUCUGAGAUCAUCUCUAUACUUCAUCCUAAAUGAUAACUAGGCACCAAAUUAAAUCAGCGUUCAAGCAACAAUCUUUGCAGGAUUAUCAUUCACCAUUUAAAUUUUAUCUAUACUUCCAGUAAGAAGUUUGGCUGAAGCACUCAGCCAAAUCAAUCUCAGUGAUUGUUGUUGACUUUCUGGUUGUCUGAGAAAGCAACUGUCUUCAAGUGAGUUAAAAUUUCAUUCACUUCUCUUUGCAUAUCAUUCAACAUCACAAAUUUUCCUUCUUUUAACACUAAUAAUUCCGUGAAUUGUCUUUAGCAUGGAAAUAGUCUAAGAUAGAUUGACAUACCUAUGAUUUAGUCUAUAUUGACGGUUGGACCAACGUUGUUCACGAAGUGUUAGGUGAGGGAUGAUUUUUGUAAUUAAAUUAGGUGAGGGACCAAAAUCGUGGCUUUUGUAAAUGUCAGGGACCAAAGUUGCAAUUAAGCCUUAUAUUUAUUUUGCUCUUGCCUUAUGGGCACAAUAACAACUUUUUCUUUGCUCUGGUUCUAGUGACAGCAUGCCUAAGUAUUAAAUAUAUUUUCUCUUAUCUGUUUCAUUCCUAAUCUUGCACUUUAAAUCAUUCACCUUGUUUUGAAUUGUUUCAUAAAAAUACGCCGUUGAGAUGUGUCUGGAUUAAGUGUUAAAUUUAUUAUUUUCCAGGUAACUUUUGUUUAAAUUAAAUGGAAGAUACACUUUUCUUGCCCAUCAAGAUAUUGAUACGUGAUGGAAUGUAUAUGGUUUUUGUAAACAAAAUCAUUGAAAACGUGGACAAUGAAAUGGAAAAGUUGAUUUCAAAUCGAGGUUUUGUGCGGCAAAAGGUUGAAGCUACAAACAAAGCAGAAAAAGUCAAUGAUGCUGUUCCAGAGUGGCUAAAAGAUGCAGAGAAACUCAUAGAAGAGGAGGAGAAAUUUGAAAUAGAAAUGGAUACUGAGAGAUCCAAUAACUGUUUUACAGGGCCAUUUUGUGUUUUUGGUAGUGAGAGGAGAUACAAGUUGUACAGUGAAAUGCUAGAGAAAAUGAAGACACUAAAUACCAAAUGUAAUUUUGAGCCAUUUUCCAGCCCAAUUCCAAGUUUAGAGUACUUCUCUUCUGGAUAUUUUGUGUCUUUUGAGUCCACAAAAAAUACCUCGGAUCAACUUAUGGAAGCACUACAAGAUGAUAGGAGUCGUGUUAUUGGAUUGUAUGGGAAGCAGGGCUCUGGUAAAACAAAAUUGGCAGAAGCAGUGGGUGAGAAAGCCAAGUAUUUAAAUAUUUUUAAUGAAGUUGUUUUUGUCACAGUGCCCCAAAAUUCAAAUACUCUUUGGAGUAUUCAAGACCAAAUUGCGGACUCGUUGGAUCUGACAUUUGACAGAAAUUCUGAACUUGCAAGAGCAAAGGCGAUAUCUUCAGAGAUCAAAAAUAAGGAUCGAGUUCUUGUUAUCUUGGAUGAUGUUCGGGCAAAGCUUGAGCUAAAAGAUAUAGGUAUUCCUAUUAAAGGUAAAUGGUGCAAGGUUCUUGUGGCCACACGCCAUCAACAAGAAUGUACCUUGCUGGAUUGUCAAAUCGAGAUUCCUCUUCAUCCAUUGUCUGAAGAGGAAGCUUGGACUUUGCUCAAAGGAUAUUCAGGCAUAGAUGAUGAGUCCUCCUCCGACUUAUUAAAUGUGGCACGAGAAGUUGCUAAUGAAUGUCAAGGGUUACACAGUAGAAUCAAAGAUGUGGGAUAUUCAUUUAAAGGUCAAUCCAUUGAGGAGUGGAAAGCAUUGUUAGACAGUUUGAGACAUUCGGCUCGCUACCAAAUCUUUCUCAGCUUUCGGGGAGAUGAUACUCGCUACUCUUUUACAGGUUCUCUCUAUGAUGCUCUUUGCAAAGAGGGAUUCAAGACCUUCAUGGAUGAUGGUGGGUUGGAGAGUGGUGAUCAGAUUUCGCUUUCUCUUACAAGUGCAAUUGGAGCAUCAAGGCUUUCCAUUGUUGUUCUAUCUGAAAACUACGCAAGUUCCUCUUGGUGUCUUGAGGAGCUUGUCAACAUCCUUGAGUGUAAGAAGACGAAGAAUCAGUUAGUUUGGCCAAUCUUUUAUAAAGUGGAUCCAUCAGUUAUAAGACAUCAAAAAAGUAGUUAUGAAAAAGCCAUGCUUGCACAUGAAAAUAGACUUGGGAAUGAUUCUAAGAAGCUGCAGAGAUGGAAGUCAGCCUUGUCUGAAAUUGCCGGCUUGUCUGGAAUGGAAUAUAGUACAGGGUAUGUGGUUUACUUUUAAAUUUUUUAGUUAAGUUGAUAUUACUUAAUUUCUUAAGCUNGUCUUCUAGUUAUCAUUUUAGAGGUGUCUUCGCUAAUAGGAAUGUUUUUAGCUUCAAUGUGAUUUUGUAUUUUUUUGUUACAAUGUGUGUUUAUCUGAGAUUAAUUAGUCAAAAGCUUAUUUUUUUCAUAUUUUUUAAUGAUAUAAAUUUUGAAUAAUCAAAAGACAGUGGAAGCUUUGCGCAUGAGUGAAUUAAAAUGUUUUGUAUUCUCGCAGGUAUGAACAUAAAUUUAUUCUAAGGAUUGUGGAAAGGGCCAAGAAUAUUAAAAGUAGUUUAUAUGUACGGAGCAUAGAUAUGGAGUAGAAGGAAGAACUUGGUUUCUCAUAAGUGCUGCUGAAGACAAAAUUGAUAGAAUAGGAUAUUAUUUAUUCUCUNNNNNNNNNNNNNNNNNNNNNNNNNNNNNNNNNNNNNNNNNNNNNNNNNNNNNNNNNNNNNNNNNNNNNNNNNNNNNNNNNNNNNNNNNNNNNNNNNNNNGCAUCUGAGAUGUGCCAUAUUGUCAUAGCAGAUCUGCAUGAAUGUUGAUGAGAGGUCAGCCAGCACAGACAGCAACAUUUUGAUGAUUCCUCUCAGUAUACUUGUUUCCAUUUUGUCAACAUGCCAACAAGCAGUGAUAGGUCUUGGUGGGCAGAGGCUCCAUUUUCUCCUGUCAAUCUUCUUCAUGUGCACAAUCUCCUUCAACAUGUUCUGGAUCCUUGCACUUUCUCUGAGGCUGCGGUUGUAGCGAGUGAAAGGAACGUUAACUGGGACUGACCACAUUCCUUCCAUCAAUGCUUCGAAUGAGGUUAGGAAUUGAUUUCUUUGUUUUCCACGCUCAAUACCAAACAGAAGAGAGCAAAUUAUGUUGAAUGUAAGCUUCUUCAUUAGGGGUAAUACCUAUCAGACAAAACAAAAAUAAAUAGUGGCACCAUAUUCUUUUUCCAACUUUGGUUUGAUUUUAAUUAUCCCAUAAAAAGAUUAUGCUUAGCAUGUUUGGACUAGUUUCUAUUUCCUCAUAAUCAAUUAUGGCAUCCAUAAAACACUCAAAGAAGCUUCUCCUCAAAAUUGAUUGUCUUUGGAAUCAAUUGUAAGACAUUAAUGUCCCAUUGCUUGAUUUGCUUCUUUUCCCUCUCCACGUGGCACAUACAUUGGUAUAUGCAGAAUCAUAUGUAAGGCUAUAAAUCUAAUUUGGAAUUUAUGUCACUCCAAUAACGUAACAACUCUGUCUAUAGUUAACAAUUUCAUUACAACAUUCAUUUUACAUGAAAACUGUGGUUUUGUUGCUAACUUGAAAAGCAACAUUUCGUUGCUUUUGAAGGGGAGUAAAUUCUGUUAGACGUAUAUUUACAAGUUCUGACUACAAUUAGUUUUAUAGUACCAGGUUAAUUCAAAAUCAUUUUUCCAAAAUCUAAUCCAAACAUACACUCACACUGUUUAGUUUGUAUUCAGAUUUUCGCUGAACUUAAUGUGAAUUCAUGUUAAACUCAACGUGUUCAAAUCUUGGUUCUCCGAUCCAUAUUUGAAAUACUUAAAAUUACGUUUGCGUUUGGACCAAUGCUAAAACAAGCAUACACUUAGAGCAUGUUUGGAUUAACUUCUUUUUCCUCAAAAUCAAUUUUGGAAUUGAAAAGCUACUCAUAGAAGCUUCUCCCAAGAAUUGAUUUUGACUUCAGAAUCAAUUGUAGAAGGAUUUUAAAGCACGGAAUUAAUCUUACAUAUAUUAACAACUUACCUUAACCUGUUGUUUCCCUUGCCAAUUCAUCUCAAUGUGUCUCCUAACUUCUUCAUCCAUUUUCCCUACAUAUCUCUUCAAGGAAUCUGGCUUCAAGAAUGAUAUAAGUGCACCUCUGACUCUGCUGUGAUCUACACCACUCAGUUCCAGCAAGCUCCUGUCACCCAAGAUCAUUUUGAUGGACUGUGUUUGCUGGUUAGCAAUGGUGUCACCACCACUUGAGAACAUGAACUUGUUA